Molecule: ribosomal RNA, 460 nt
Filed under: uncultured bacterium
Lineage: Bacteria
Description: partial 16S ribosomal RNA
Rfam family: Bacterial small subunit ribosomal RNA
Source: RNAcentral
CCUACGGGAGGCAGCAGUGAGGAAUAUUGGUCAAUGGACGAGAGUCUGAACCAGCCAAGUAGCGUGAAGGAUGACUGCCCUAUGGGUUGUAAACUUCUUUUAUAUGGGAAUAAAAUGUUCCACGUGUGGGAUUUUGUAUGUACCAUAUGAAUAAGGAUCGGCUAACUCCGUGCCAGCAGCCGCGGUAAUACGGAGGAUCCGAGCGUUAUCCGGAUUUAUUGGGUUUUAAGGGAGCGUAGGUGGAUUGUUAAGUCAGUUGUGAAAGUUUGCGGCUCAACCGUAAAAUUGCAGUUGAAACUGGCAGUCUUGAGUACAGUAGAGGUGGGCGGAAUUCGUGGUGUAGCGGUGAAAUGCUUAGAUAUCACGAAGAACUACGAUUGCGAAGGCAGUUCACUGGACUGCAACUGACACUGAGGCUCGAAAGUGUGGGUAUCAAACAGGAUUAGAUACCCUUGUAGUC